Molecule: ribosomal RNA, 432 nt
Filed under: Anaplasma platys
Lineage: Bacteria; Pseudomonadati; Pseudomonadota; Alphaproteobacteria; Rickettsiales; Anaplasmataceae
Description: bacterial SSU rRNA
Rfam family: Bacterial small subunit ribosomal RNA
Source: RNAcentral
AGAACGAACGCUGGCGGCAAGCUUAACACAUGCAGGUCGAACGGAUUUUUGUCGUAGCUUGCUAUGAUAAAAAUUAGUGGCAGACGGGUGAGUAAUGCAUAGGAAUCUACCUAGUAGUAUGGGAUAGCCACUAGAAAUGGUGGGUAAUACUGUAUAAUCCCUGCGGGGGAAAGAUUUAUCGCUAUUAGAUGAGCCUAUGUUAGAUUAGCUAGUUGGUAGGGUAAAGGCCUACCAAGGCAGUGAUCUAUAGCUGGUCUGAGAGGAUGAUCAGCCACACUGGAACUGAGAUACGGUCCAGACUCCUACGGGAGGCAGCAGUGGGGAAUAUUGGACAAUGGGCGCAAGCCUGAUCCAGCUAUGCCGCGUGAGUGAGGAAGGCCUUAGGGUUGUAAAACUCUUUCAGUGGGGAAGAUAAUGACGGUACCCACAGAA